Molecule: long non-coding RNA, 2133 nt
Organism: Dromaius novaehollandiae (emu)
Lineage: Eukaryota; Metazoa; Chordata; Aves; Casuariiformes; Dromaiidae
Exons: 6
Source: RefSeq, a predicted model, not a curated record
GUCUUAGUAUGGUAAAGAUUACGCUGACAGAUUAAUUCCACUUGGGAAGGUUACUGUUUAAAAAGAAUUUAUGCUGCCAUUGGGUCUGCCUACCAGAUAAGCCACAACAAGGUGAAAGUGAGCUGCAUCAAGAUUCUGAUGCCCAGAGCACACAGUUCAGUUUCUGCUGCUUCUUUGUUCAACUAGAGGCUAUAUAAGAAACAGCAUUCUCUCUCAAAACAAGAAGGUAAUCAAGGGGGAGAUACACAGGCUUUGAAAAGCAAAAUUAAGACUCUAUGGGAUUUUGGAUGUGUAACAUAAACUGUGGGCAACGUGCUUCGCUUGUAUAAAUCAGCAUCAUUACAUUGAAGCCAGAAGAUCUCUGCUGUGCUCCAGCUGAGAAAGUGGCCUACGACUCUGAACACAAGGGGAUGUGCUGGAAGGCAGUCCUGGUCCAGCAAGGUACAUCAGUGGGAAAGCAAGCCUCUGCUGAGGAUUUCACUAGGAGUGAAAUCCUGGUUCACUGAAGGCCAUGGGAAAGAGACUUCACCCUAAGCAUCAAGAAACGGACGUCUUCCCAAAGUUAAUUUUGACCUCUGGAAUUCAGCAGAGAAAUAAAGCACAAAAUAAAGCUGCAUUGGUUAAAAGAAACUAUUGCAACAUAAGUCGAAAAGCCAAAACUGAAGGGCAGAGGUGGCAGGGAAGAAGGCAUACUGCAUAAUUUCUGAUGGCAAUAUUCAUAGCAUCUCACAGAGCACUGUGGAGAUACUAAUCUUAAUAAAACAGCAUAUACAAAUCCCUGUUCCUGUGCUACUGAUAAGACCCUAAGUGCUCAGUCCUGCUACAGCUUACUCACAGGAACUGGCCUCUAUUUUCAGAAGUCACAAAUGAUUCUGAUUACCUUCAUUUCUCAGUCGAUCACCAGUUUUAGAAAAUGGGUCUAGGUUUAAAAAGUGAAGCACUUGGUGCAAUUUGAGGAACCACAGUUUCUUCAACUCCUAGGGCAGCCAAAACUGCUAAUCACUUUGAAAACUUUAUGUUGCAGUCCUCCCUCGAACUGAAGGUGCACGCUCUGCCCAGCACUGUGCCAUGCUGAGAGAACUGGAUUACUCGGGGGGGCUGGAAGUACCCUCUUUGCACGGUCCAAAUGGUCUGCCCUGAAUAAUUAGUCCUAAGUAACACCCCUUUGAGCCAUGAAAGAGACAUUCCCGGGUCUCUGUAUGUGAGUAAGCAAACCCACGUGGCUUCUCAUCCUGCAAGUGCUUCCUCCACCUCCAGCGGUGGCUCAAGGGAGAACACCAUUAAUUAAAUUGGUAGUGGGGUAAGGAGCCAAGAGAGAAAGGGGACAGCCAGAACACGCGGGCGAGAACGCCAGUGGGGAUCCUGCACUGGUUCUCUGAUUGUGGUAAGCAUGAGUGAAGCUGGGGUUUGGGGGUCUCUGCACCCUAGCCUACAGCAUUUCCUCGCCCUCUGUGUCAUGACAUAUAAACUAUGGUCUUAAGAUACUGUCUCUUGAUUACUUAUUUGGGGAUCAAGAAAGGCAUGUUUUUUCUUAUUAGGGUAUAGCUGGAGAAGGCAUACGAUGUUUUCACGGUCUUUCCAGCAUCACGGAGGCACCGGUAGGCUGAAAAGUUGGAUAUGGAAAUGGAACAGAUUGGAAUGUAUGCAUUUAUUCACCUGCUGGAAUUUACUGAAAAUUUUAGAUAAUGUCCAGUGUGGGAUAAGGCUGAAAUUUAAAAGAAAUCUGGAACUUCGCUAUUGGCUUUGUGCCUAGGAAAGAAACAAACCUAAAUGAAGUGCUUUGGGGUUUAGGACCUCCUUUCUUCUUUGGAGGGGGGUUGAGGGGUGGGCUUCAGAUGUGAGCUGGUUUUAGGGAUAGAUUAGGGAGGAUCUGCCCUCAAUUGUAGCUUUGUAAUCCCUGCACCGGGCCCACUUAACUGCCUGACAUGUGAAAAUAUUGUGUUAAUGAAGUUCCAGCCUGCUUCUUAAAUCCACCCUUGUGACUGUCUUUAUUCAUCUGUGUGUCCUGAUAAAUUAUGUUUAAUUUUAUAUAUGUGAGUAAUCUCAUUGAAAUCUAAGAGUUACUAAUGGUAGUACAAUAGAUGAGUGUUGCUUGGGCCUUUAAUCCAAUAUUAAAGCUGAAAACUUUUUACA